GCCGUGGGGGGGCUAUACAUGCAGUAGAACGCUGAAGAGAGGAGCUUGCUCUUCUUGGAUGAGUUGCGAACGGGUGAGUAACGCGUAGGUAACCUGCCUUGUAGCGGGGGAUAACUAUUGGAAACGAUAGCUAAUACCGCAUAACAAUGGAUGACACAUGUCAUUUAUUUGAAAGGGGCAAUUGCUCCACUACAAGAUGGACCUGCGUUGUAUUAGCUAGUAGGUGAGGUAAUGGCUCACCUAGGCGACGAUACAUAGCCGACCUGAGAGGGUGAUCGGCCACACUGGGACUGAGACACGGCCCAGACUCCUACGGGAGGCAGCAGUAGGGAAUCUUCGGCAAUGGGGGCAACCCUGACCGAGCAACGCCGCGUGAGUGAAGAAGGUUUUCGGAUCGUAAAGCUCUGUUGUAAGUCAAGAACGGGUGUGAGAGUGGAAAGUUCACACUGUGACGGUAGCUUACCAGAAAGGGACGGCUAACUACGUGCCAGCAGCCGCGGUAAUACGUAGGUCCCGAGCGUUGUCCGGAUUUAUUGGGCGUAAAGCGAGCGCAGGCGGUUUGAUAAGUCUGAAGUUAAAGGCUGUGGCUCAACCAUAGUUCGCUUUGGAAACUGUCAAACUUGAGUGCAGAAGGGGAGAGUGGAAUUCCAUGUGUAGCGGUGAAAUGCGUAGAUAUAUGGAGGAACACCGGUGGCGAAAGCGGCUCUCUGGUCUGUAACUGACGCUGAGGCUCGAAAGCGUGGGGAGCGAACAGGAUUAGAUACCCUGGUAGUCCACGCCGUAAACGAUGAGUGCUAGGUGUUGGAUCCUUUCCGGGAUUCAGUGCCGCAGCUAACGCAUUAAGCACUCCGCCUGGGGAGUACGACCGCAAGGUUGAAACUCAAAGGAAUUGACGGGGGCCCGCACAAGCGGUGGAGCAUGUGGUUUAAUUCGAAGCAACGCGAAGAACCUUACCAGGUCUUGACAUCCCGAUGCUAUUUCUAGAGAUAGAAAGUUACUUCGGUACAUCGGUGACAGGUGGUGCAUGGUUGUCGUCAGCUCGUGUCGUGAGAUGUUGGGUUAAGUCCCGCAACGAGCGCAACCCCUAUUGUUAGUUGCCAUCAUUCAGUUGGGCACUCUAGCGAGACUGCCGGUAAUAAACCGGAGGAAGGUGGGGAUGACGUCAAAUCAUCAUGCCCCUUAUGACCUGGGCUACACACGUGCUACAAUGGUUGGUACAACGAGUUGCGAGUCGGUGACGGCGAGCUAAUCUCUUAAAGCCAAUCUCAGUUCGGAUUGUAGGCUGCAACUCGCCUACAUGAAGUCGGAAUCGCUAGUAAUCGCGGAUCAGCACGCCGCGGUGAAUACGUUCCCGGGCCUUGUACACACCGCCCGUCACACCACGAGAGUUUGUAACACCCGAAGUCGGUGAGGUAACCUUUUGGAGCCAGCCGCUAAGUGACAAAGU
This 1447-nucleotide ribosomal RNA is filed under the name Streptococcus thermophilus. RNAcentral describes it as "bacterial SSU rRNA". It matches the Rfam family "Bacterial small subunit ribosomal RNA". Lineage: Bacteria; Bacillati; Bacillota; Bacilli; Lactobacillales; Streptococcaceae. The record is from RNAcentral.